This 497-nucleotide ribosomal RNA is filed under the name uncultured bacterium. Its description in RNAcentral is "partial 16S ribosomal RNA". It matches the Rfam family "Bacterial small subunit ribosomal RNA", at positions 28 to 507 of the family's 1533-position model. The record is from RNAcentral.
GAUGAACGCUGGCGGCGUGCCUAAUACAUGCAAGUCGAGCGAACAGACGAGGAGCUUGCUCCUCUGACGUUAGCGGCGGACGGGUGAGUAACACGUGGAUAACCUACCUAUAAGACUGGGAUAACUUCGGGAAACCGGAGCUAAUACCGGAUAACAUGUUGAACCGCAUGGUUCAACAGUGAAAGACGGUCUUGCUGUCACUUAUAGAUGGAUCCGCGCCGCAUUAGCUAGUUGGUAAGGUAACGGCUUACCAAGGCAACGAUGCGUAGCCGACCUGAGAGGGGGAUCGGCCAAACUGGAACUGAGACACGGUCCAGACUCCUACGGGAGGCAGCAGUAGGGAAUCUUCCGCAAUGGGCGAAAGCCUGACGGAGCAACGCCGCGGGAGUGAAGAAGGUCUUCGGAUCGUAAAACUCUGUUAGUAGGGAAGAACAAAUGUGUAAGUAACUAUGCACGUCUUGACGGUACCUAAUCAGAAAGCCACGGCUAACUACGUG